CCUACGGGUGGCAGCAGUGGGGGAUAUUGCACAAUGGGGGAAACCCUGAUGCAGCGACGCCGCGUGGGCGAAGAAGUAUUUCGGUAUGGAAAGCCCUAUCAGCAGGGAAGAAGAAAUGACGGUACCUGAGUAAGAAGCACCGGCUAAAUACGUGCCAGCAGCCGGGGUAAUACGUAUGGUGCAAGCCAUAUCCGGAGUUACAGGGUGUAAAGGGAGCGCAGGCGGCACGGCAAGCGUGAUGGGAAAGCCGGCGGCCCAACCGAGGGACUGCGGUUGAAACUACCGGGCUGGAGGGCCGGAGAGGUAGGCGGAAUGCCUGGUGUAGCGGUGAAAUGCGUAGAUAUUACGAGGAACUCCAGUGGCGAAGGCAGCAUACUGGACGUUGACUGACGCUGAGGCACGAAAGUGUGGGGAUCAAACAGGAUUAGAUACCCUAGUAGUC
This 442-nucleotide ribosomal RNA is filed under the name uncultured bacterium. RNAcentral's name for it is "partial 16S ribosomal RNA". It matches the Rfam family "Bacterial small subunit ribosomal RNA", at positions 338 to 795 of the family's 1533-position model. The record is from RNAcentral.